GACAGAGGGUGCAAACGUUGUUCGGAAUUACUGGGCGUAAAGCGCGUGUAGGCGGCCAUCUAAGUCGGGCGUGAAAUCCCACGGCUCAACCGUGGAAGUGCACUCGAAACUGGAUGGCUAGAGUCCUGGAGAGGAAGGUGGAAUGCUUGGUGUAGAGGUGAAAUUCGUAGAUAUCAAGCGGAACACCGGUGGCGAAGGCGGCCUUCUGGACAGUGACUGACGCUGAGGUGCGAAAGCGUGGGGAGCAAACAGG
Molecule: ribosomal RNA, 253 nt
Filed under: uncultured bacterium
Lineage: Bacteria
Description: partial 16S ribosomal RNA
Rfam family: Bacterial small subunit ribosomal RNA
Source: RNAcentral